UGGGGAAUAUUGGACAAUGGGCGAAAGCCUGAUCCAGCCACGCCGCGUGAGUGAUGAAGGCCUUCGGGUUGUAAAGCUCUGUGGGGAGGGACGAAAAAGGUUGUCAAGAUAACGGGCAGCCCUUGACGGUACCUCCUUAGCAAGCACCGGCUAACUCUGUGCCAGCAGCCGCGGUAAGACAGAGGGUGCGAACGUUGCUCGGAAUCACUGGGCGUAAAGCGCGUGUAGGCUGACCAGAAAGUCAGGUGUGAAAUCCCUGGGCUCAACCUAGGAACUGCAUCUGAAACUACUGGUCUAGAGUGUCGGAGAGGGAAGCGGAAUUCCGGGUGUAGAGGUGAAAUUCGUAGAUAUCCGGAGGAACACCGGUGGCGAAGGCGGCUUCCUGGACGACUACUGACGCUGAGACGCGAAAGCGUGGGGAGCAAACAGGAUUAGAUACCCCUGUAGUCC
Molecule: ribosomal RNA, 450 nt
Filed under: uncultured prokaryote
Description: bacterial SSU rRNA
Rfam family: Bacterial small subunit ribosomal RNA
Source: RNAcentral